AGGGCCCUACCAAGAAAUAAACCCUUAUGGAAGCACUGUACACACAUAGCAAGUGCAAUUUCAGUAUUUGCUAAAUAAAUAAAAAGGACGUUUGAGAAGAUUAAGUAAGAAAAUGUGUACGAAGACAAGUGGCUAGAGUGGAGUCAGUGAUUAAAAUUUGUACCGCCAAUCCUGCACUCCUGCCCCCACCUCCAGCCUGCCCCAGGCCUGGGCACAUGGUACGUGCAGGGUGUGUACUUAUUGGUGACAGUCCAAUCAACUCUAAGAAAUAAGUGUUACUCUCUGGCCCUCAAGGUUUAUAUUCUUUCUCUGCAAGGGGAAGCUGGGGCUGAACUUGAGAGCCUUGUGAAGGGAGAUGUAAUUUUCCUUAUUUACUAACAUUUACUUGGACUGGUGUCUGGGACACCCAAAAUAUGCUAUGAAUCAGUCAGAGGAUAACAAGAUCUGCAGUCCUGUACAGAUUACUCACUAAUUUGACAUUUGGGGAUUUUUGCAAAAUGUUAGGGAACAUUUGACAAGCUGCAAAUUGCUCUCUCUAUAAAAUGCGUUUGAAUCUGAGGAUGGGCAGCCCUCUCCACUGAUGUGGUUCCAUUUGUUCCUAGCACCAGCUGUUGCAUCCUGACAAGGUGGCUCCUUUUUAUUUUCUCCCCCUGAAGUAGAAAGUGGUGGAAGUUUGCCCUGAAAACACAAUAACUAAAAUUCAUUGAGCACCUACUAUGGGUCGGGUGGCUUGACAUUAUUUGUUUCAUGUCAUCUUCACAAUCAUCCUCUAAGGUAUGUAUCAUUAGCCUCUCUAUUUUUCAGCAAGGAGACUGGCGUUCAGAGAGGUUAAGCACCUUGUUUAAGGCCACACAGUUCUGAAUUUCCUAAGCUAGAAUUUGAACCAGUGUCUACUUAACCCAACAUCUGGAUUCCAAUCCAGCAGGCCGUCUUCCUCCACCAGAGCAUCAUCACAUUCUGACUUGGGUCUCCCACAACUGGAGGGGCAGAGGAGAGGAAAAUUUCUUGGUAUUUGGGGCCUCCCCAAAGGAACAGUAAGUUUCUCAAGUACGCUCGAUCUUGACUCCCAGCUGCUUGGUCGUGUUGUGGAUUUGGUAAGUGCUUAAUAGGUGCUCAUGGAAAUGAAAAUCCAUUCCCGUG
Molecule: long non-coding RNA, 1140 nt
Filed under: Capra hircus (goat)
Lineage: Eukaryota; Metazoa; Chordata; Mammalia; Artiodactyla; Bovidae
Description: lncRNA (ENSCHIG00000006878.1)
Source: RNAcentral